This 326-nucleotide ribosomal RNA is filed under the name uncultured eukaryote. RNAcentral's name for it is "partial 18S ribosomal RNA". It matches the Rfam family "Eukaryotic small subunit ribosomal RNA", at positions 1470 to 1796 of the family's 1831-position model. The record is from RNAcentral.
CCCUUAGAUGUUCUGGGCUGCACGCGCGCUACACUGAUGCACUCAACGAGUUUACGACCUUGCCCGAUAGGGUUGGGUAAUCUUUUUAAAAUGCAUCGUGAUGGGGAUAGGUUAUUGCAAUUAUUAAUCUUCAACGAGGAAUUCCUAGUAAGCGCGAGUCAUCAGCUCGUGCUGAUUACGUCCCUGCCCUUUGUACACACCGCCCGUCGCUCCUACCGAUUGAGUGCUCAGGUGAAUAAUUCGGACUGCAGCAAUGUUUGGAUCCCGAACGUUGCAGCGGAAAGUUUAGUGAACCUUAUCACUUAGAGGAAGGAGAAGUCGUAACA